UACGGAGGGUGCAAGCGUUAAUCGGAAUUACUGGGCGUAAAGCGCACGCAGGCGGUGUGUUAAGUCUGAUGUGAAAUCCCCGGGCUCAACCCGGGAACUGCAUUCGAAACUGGAAGACUAGAGUCUUGUCGAGGGGGGUAGAAUUCCAGGUGUAGCGGUGAAAUGCGUAGAGAUCUGGAGGAAUACCGAUGGCGAAGGCGGCCCCCUGGACAAAGACUGACGCUCAGGUGCGAAAGCGUGGGGAGCAAACAGG
RNAcentral lists this ribosomal RNA (253 nucleotides) under uncultured bacterium. RNAcentral's name for it is "partial 16S ribosomal RNA". It matches the Rfam family "Bacterial small subunit ribosomal RNA", at positions 524 to 776 of the family's 1533-position model. The record is from RNAcentral.